Long non-coding RNA from Harmonia axyridis, 660 nucleotides. RefSeq lists it as uncharacterized. Lineage: Eukaryota; Metazoa; Arthropoda; Insecta; Coleoptera; Coccinellidae. The record is from RefSeq and is a predicted model, not a curated record. The transcript has 2 exons.
CUCAUUUUGCACCGGGGCCCAAUGCAAUGGCGUAUAACGUAGAUAUGGGGGAGUACUGGCGGUAAUAACCCCCACCCCUCCGAAAAAUUUUCCAGAAUAUGAAAUUUCAGGAUUCUCACCCAGGAUUACUCUCCCAAGAAAAAACUGUCUACGCCCUUGGCCCAAGGUUACAUAGCAACGCCAAUUCGUGAAUACAAAAAUCAUAUAUCUUUGUUAAUUGUUAGAAAAUAUCGUUUACGAACAUAUCCGUGUCUUAGAAUGUCAUAAAUACAAAAAUCGUGACUCACCUAAUAUUUUCAAUUACUCUUCUAAUUCCAAAUUCAAUUAUCACCACGAUAGUUAUCUUGAUAUUCAAUGAUCCAGUACUGAUUCGUCUUGCUCUUUGCAAACAUGAAUUACUGUCGAAUAUUUCUUGUCGUAACGUUACUAGUGAUUUUAGAUCAUAAUUGUGAAGCUGUUAGAAGGCCUAUAUCGAAUGUGAAAUCACCAAAAUUUUCGGAUUCGCCCAGAAGAUGUCCUGUAGGACAAAUUUUCGAUAACGCAGGAAUGUGUGUUCAACCAUUCGAAUGAAGACGGCUAGCGGACAACAUGGACUCCCAUGAAAAGUAGAAUACAUAUUCGUGUUUCAAUAGAAUGUUUAAAUAAACAGUAAUAAUAAUA